CCUCAUACAGGGGGAUAGCAGUUGGAAACGACUGGUAAAACCGCAUAAGCGCACCAGUGUCGCAUGACACAGUGUGAAAACACUCCGGUGGUAUGAGAUGGACCCGCGUCUGAUUAGCUAGUUGGUGAGGUAACGGGCCCACCAAGGCGACGAUCAGUAGCCGGCCUGAGAGGGUNAACGGCCACAUUGGGACCUGAGACACGGCCCAAACUCCUACGGGAGGCAGCAGUGGGGAAUAUUGCACAAUGGGGGAAACCCUGAUGCAGCGACGCCGCGUGAGCGAAGAAGUAUUUCGGUAUGUAAAGCUCUAUCAGCAGGGAAGAAGAAAUGACGGUACCUGACUAAGAAGCACCGGCUAAAUACGUG
RNAcentral lists this ribosomal RNA (366 nucleotides) under uncultured bacterium. RNAcentral describes it as "bacterial SSU rRNA". It matches the Rfam family "Bacterial small subunit ribosomal RNA", at positions 129 to 507 of the family's 1533-position model. The record is from RNAcentral.